AUUGCUUCUCGGCCUUUUGGCUAAGAUCAAGUGUAGUAUCUGUUCUUAUCAGAAAAUACUUUUUGAUCCAGCAAUUUAAUGAUGGUUAUAUUGGUGACUUACUUCUA
This 107-nucleotide small nuclear RNA is filed under the name Myotis davidii. Its description in RNAcentral is "U2 spliceosomal RNA". It matches the Rfam family "U2 spliceosomal RNA". Rfam says of the family: U2 is a small nuclear RNA (snRNA) component of the spliceosome (involved in pre-mRNA splicing). The record is from Rfam by way of RNAcentral. Lineage: Eukaryota; Metazoa; Chordata; Mammalia; Chiroptera; Vespertilionidae.